GGAAUUGUUCACAAUGGGCGCAAGCCUGAUGACGCAACGCCGCGUGGGGGAUGAAGGUCUUCGGAUUGUAAACCCCUGUCGAAUGGGACGAAAGACUCGCGUAUUAACACUGCGCGGGAUUGACGGUACCGUUAAAGGAAGCCACGGCUAACUCCGUGCCAGCAGCCGCGGUAAUACGGGGGGAGCAAGCGUUGUUCGGAUUUACUGGGCGUAAAGGGCGCGUAGGCGGCCACUGCAAGUCGGUUGUGAAAUCUCCGGGCUUAACCCGGAAAGGUCAAUCGAUACUGCAGGGCUAGAGUGCAGAAGGGGCAACUGGAAUUCUCGGUGUAGCGGUGAAAUGCGUAGAUAUCGAGAGGAACACCUGCGGCGAAGGCGGGUUGCUGGGCUGACACUGACGCUGAAGCGCGAAAGCUAGGGGAGCGAAC
This 425-nucleotide ribosomal RNA is filed under the name uncultured bacterium. Its description in RNAcentral is "bacterial SSU rRNA". It matches the Rfam family "Bacterial small subunit ribosomal RNA", at positions 358 to 773 of the family's 1533-position model. The record is from RNAcentral.